ACCACCAUAACACUGUCGGAAGAAGGCGGCGCCCGUUUGUGCAGCUGAAUACCCGCAUGUCAUCUGUUUGUUGAUGUGUACCAAUAUUAUGUGUGACAAAGGCUACCUUUUCUGUGAAUAAUAUUAAUUUAGCGUGUAUUGGUUGUUAUUUGGCUUAUUUACGCUCCACGAUUUUGUCAAACUUACUUUUUCAGCUCAAGCUAGCACCGAACCUAGGAUUAGCAUGUCCUCUGAGGGUCUCAGUCGGCACCAGAAGAAGCAUCAGUAACGGGCAGUAAUUCAAAAUGAGUAAAAGUUUGCUUUCCUGUGUGAAGAAUAGAAGUCUGUGGACGUCUUUUCGCAAGUGUGUCACAACAUGGUCACCUGUUGGUGCAGCUUUCAAUGCCAAACCUCACAAGAGACUGGAAGCGUUUGAGAAAAAUGUGGGUUUGUUUGGCUUGCCAGAGCUGAGUUCUCCGGCUGGAUUUCAGGUGGCCACAAAGGUGGCUCUAAAGAACACACAGCUGCUAAUAAAAAAAGUGUGUACUUCUGCUCCAGGGCUUGAGACUGUCACAGCUUUUGACCAGCUCUCUGAUGGUCUUUGUAAAGUGGCGGACUUGGCGGAUUUUGUUAAAGUAGCACAUCCUGAUCCAGUGUACCGCGAGGCCGCAGAGAAGACCUGCAUUGAGAUCGGCACAGUCGUGGAGAAGUUGAACACCAAUGUGGAGCUAUGCAACAGUUUGAAGAAUUUGCUGGACAGGCCGGAUCUUGUGGCCCAGCUGGACUCAGACACAAGGAGAGUGGCAGAGUUAUUUAUGUUUGACUUUGAAAUCAGCGGGAUUCAUCUCGAUGAGAAACUGAGGAAAGAGGCAGUUGCUCUCCACGUGAAGCUCUUGGAUUUAAACAAUGAAUUCCUGGUUGGCUCUCACAUGCCCAACAGAGUCGCCAGGUCAGCCAUUCCCGAACAUCUCCACUUGCACUUUGCCAGCACAGGAAGUUUUGUGGAAAUUGGAGGAUUACACGCUGACUCUCCGGAUGACUUGGUCCGAGAAAUCGCCUACAGGGUUUAUCUGUAUCCAAACGUAGACCUGAUGGAAUGUCUGGAAGAACUCCUAAGAUGCAGAUAUAAGCUGGCCAAACUGGUGGGAUACGACUCCUAUGCCCACAGAGCCUUGAAGGGAACAAUGGCAACAACCCCAGAAACAGUGAUGAGAUUUCUUCAACUCUUAACAGAUAAGCUGUCAGACAGAACAACAAAGGACUUUGAUAUGAUGAGUGACAUGAAGAAAAAACUCAACCCUCGGCAUUCGGAGCUCAUGCCGUGGGAUCACCCGUUCCUCAGUGGAGUAUUGCGUGCCGAAAGGUACAACAUCGAACCCAGUCUGUACAGCCCUUACUUUUCCCUGGGGGCCUGCAUGGACGGUUUGAACAUUCUCUUCUCUCGGCUCUACGGUGUCUCCCUCAUGUCCGAACACCCCAACGCUGGAGAGGUGUGGAGCGACGACGUGCGCAAAUUGGCUGUAGUUCAUGAAACAGAGGGAUUACUUGGAUAUAUCUACUGUGACUUUUUUCAGCGGAAAGACAAACCUCAUCAGGACUGUCACUUCACUAUCCGGGGCGGUCGCUGGUGCCAGGAAACGGGUCAGUACCAGCUGCCUGUUGUGGUUCUGAUGCUGAGCCUGCCCCACCCCACCAGAAGUGCCCCCACCCUGCUAUCCCCAGGCAUGAUGGAGAACCUCUUCCACGAGAUGGGACACGCCAUGCAUUCAAUGCUAGGGCGCACUCGUUACCAGCAUGUUACAGGAACUAGAUGUGCAACAGAUUUUGCAGAAGUGCCCUCCAUCCUCAUGGAGUACUUUGCCUCUGACUAUCGAGUCGUCAGCCAGUUUGCACGUCAUUAUGAAACUGGACAGCCUCUGCCUGAGAGUAUGGUGACCCGCCUGUGUGAGUCCAAGAAGGUGUGCGGUGCUGCAGACACCCAGUUGCAGAUUUUCUAUGCUGCACUGGACCAGAUAUACCACAGUAAACCCCAAAAUCUCUCCACCACUGAACUACUGAAGGAGAUGCAGCAGAAGUUCUACGGCUUGCCUUACACACCAAAUACAGCUUGGCAGCUGAGAUUUAGCCAUCUCAUUGGUUAUGGAGCCAAAUACUAUUCUUACCUCAUGUCCAGAGCCGUGGCCUCCAUGGUGUGGAAGCAGUGCUUCGUUCAGGAUCCUUUAAACAGGGAAAUGGGUGAGCGUUACCGUCGAGAGAUGUUAGCCCAUGGAGGAGCCAAGGAGCCCAUGUUGAUGGUAGAAGGUAUGCUUCAAAGGCGUCCUACCAUCGAGGACUUCGUGGAGGCGCUGGUGUCGGAGCUCCAGCCAAACUUUGAGACAUUCAUCAUGGACUCAGAGACCUGAGAGGUGCUUUUAUGCCCUCAGGACAUUUGCUAGAGUAGCCAAAUGUAUGUACAAUAGACCACAAUAUGUGGGCAUACAUACAUGCAAGGCCUUCCUACCUAAUCUGUAAUUAUUAAAAGGUCAAGGUUGAGCUCUAGCCCAUCCCAGCUGACCUGCAUGACAGGUUGCCUACACCCUUGACUGAUUAUCAGCCAAUCACAGGGUACAUAUAGAGAAACCAUUAUUCACACCAAUGACAAUUUGGUUAACCUAAAAAGCAUGUUUGGGGGAUGAAGGGGGAUAGCAAGCAAGUGCUACCUGUUGUAGUAAUAACCAAAUGAAUACUUUCCGAACUUACCAUUGAAAUGACGUGUUCCCAGAACAGCAAUGGGUAUUUUUUUUCUUGAUCGUAUCCAUUACUUUAUGCAAAGCGUAUUAAUAGCAGACAUAGCAAAUACUUACACUUUUGCCACCUCUUGUGCUCCUUGUGAAAGAAAUGUGAUACUAAAUCAGUGUUUCUUUCUUAUUAUACGUACAGUCUAUUAAGACAAUAGUGUGUUUGAAAGGGUCGGAUCAAAUGCUUUCGCGUCGUACUUGGUUCCCCUCCCUGGCUGUAGAUAGAAAGAGUUGGAAAUCCCCAUGAAACCUGCAUCCCUUUGGCAACCGUGAUGUAAUAUUAACGCCGGGUGCUGGGUCAUGCUAAAGCCAUACACUGACAUGUGAGCCUGUGCUAUGCUUAGUAGUUCACAUUAAGUAGUUCAUAUUAACAUUUUCAUACAGUUGUUAGCAGCUGAGGUGAUGUUGCAACUACUUCCUGCAGCUGUUGACACCCCGUCACCACUACCUUUAGCCUAGCACGAUUCUGAACCAGAGGCGGGCGGUAUAAAGCGGUAAUAAAAGUGGCGGGCAGCAGACAGGCUACUCUGAUGACCAGUGGUGGGGAAGAAAUGAACUAUAAAUACUUUAACUGUAGAUUUUCAGGUAUCUAUGCUUCUGAUGAUAUUCCCCAUUAUUUGAUGUUAUGGACUCCAAGAAUUAUUUGUCUAAGGCUAAAAACGAGCUUCUGCUGUUCUGUUGUUUUAUCUGAAAUAAUCAUCUGAUGAUAGUUUUUUGCUAAUUUUGCAUUUUUUUGUUAGAACAUAUUUUUAUUUCAGAAAAGCCAGAGUCAGCUCUAUCUAGAUAGCUAUUAAUAUAGGUAUUCUAUAUUAUUCCAACAGAAGUACCUGGUCAAAACACAUGCAAGACCGGGAAGAACGCAACCCCCCCACGGGAAGGCAAGAGCCCUGAUUCGAACCGCAACCUCAGAAUUGUGAGGCAGAUAAGCCGAACACUCUUUCACUGUUCGUAAGUGACAGUAAAAAACAAAAGGUUUUUACUUUUGCAAAAAAAAAUUCAAGACAGAACAUUAUUGUCUUUAUAAAGGCAGAUGGAUUGGCUUUGUGUAUGAAGGUGUAGCUACUGAUCAAAAAAUGAACAUUUGUCUGUUCAAGUGUUUUAUUUACAAAGGUGUAAAACAAGUACAUGGAUCAUCAACACUACAAAUGCCGCACACAAUCAGUCAUGUCUGUUACAAAAAUACGCAGCUAUUUACUAUUUUACAUUAUCCACAAGUCACUUGACCGCAUGUACUCAAGAUUGUCUUCAGUGUGAUUUUCGUUCAUGUCACGACUAAAUACGCACAAUGCCAGACGUGACAUGA
Molecule: RNA transcript, 4059 nt
Organism: Syngnathus acus (greater pipefish)
Lineage: Eukaryota; Metazoa; Chordata; Actinopteri; Syngnathiformes; Syngnathidae
Gene name: mitochondrial intermediate peptidase-like
Exons: 20
Source: RefSeq, a predicted model, not a curated record